This 501-nucleotide ribosomal RNA is filed under the name uncultured bacterium. RNAcentral's name for it is "partial 16S ribosomal RNA". It matches the Rfam family "Bacterial small subunit ribosomal RNA", at positions 30 to 523 of the family's 1533-position model. The record is from RNAcentral.
AUUGAACGCUGGCGGCAGGCUUAACACAUGCAAGUCGAGCGGGGGAAGGUAGCUUGCUACCGGACCUAGCGGCGGACGGGUGAGUAAUGCUUAGGAAUCUGCCUAUUAGUGGGGGACAACAUCUCGAAAGGGAUGCUAAUACCGCAUACGUCCUACGGGAGAAAGCAGGGGAUCUUCGGACCUUGCGCUAAUAGAUGAGCCUAAGUCGGAUUAGCUAGUUGGUGGGGUAAAGGCCUCCCAAGGCGACGAUCUGUAGCGGGUCUGAGAGGAUGAUCCGCCACGCUGGGACUGAGCCACGGCCCAGACUCCUACGGGAGGCAGCAGUGGGGAAUAUUGGACAAUGGGGGGAACCCUGAUCCAGCCAUGCCGCGUGUGUGAAGAAGGCCUUAUGGUUGUAAAGCACUUUAAGCGAGGAGGAGGCUACUCUAGUUAAUACCUAGGGAUAGUGGACGUUACUCGCAGAAUAAGCACCGGCUAACUCUGUGCCAGCCGCCGCAGUAA